This 84-nucleotide transfer RNA is filed under the name Bacteroidota bacterium. RNAcentral describes it as "Bacteroidetes bacterium tRNA-Leu". It matches the Rfam family "tRNA". From Rfam's summary of the family: Transfer RNA (tRNA) molecules are approximately 80 nucleotides in length. Their secondary structure includes four short double-helical elements and three loops (D, anti-codon, and T loops). The record is from RNAcentral. Lineage: Bacteria; Pseudomonadati; Bacteroidota. RNAcentral also lists the same sequence under 2 other names.
GCCCGGAUGGCGGAACAGGUAGACGCGUUGGUCUCAAAAACCAAUGGGCGCAAGCCCGUGCCGGUUCGAUUCCGGCUCCGGGUA